ACUAAUUGAUAAUUAUAAACAGAUAGAGAGAACUUACCUAAGGAAUCUUUAAGCUUUGUAGAAACAACAGAGAGACUCAAGUAUGAAGGAGAGACAGAGAAAGGAUAUACGUAGGAAGAAUGGUUACCAGCCACACAAAGCAAAAGACAACAUGCCUAUUAGGUGUUUGGAGGAUGUAGACGAAAGGGACCAUCUCGCGUGCCUAAAUCAAAGGUGAUAACAUUUGAUCUGCAAUCUUAACUUUGGUAGUAACUGUUAAAGAAAAU
RNAcentral lists this long non-coding RNA (266 nucleotides) under Carica papaya (papaya). Its description in RNAcentral is "long non-coding RNA (CPAP_LNC009525)". Lineage: Eukaryota; Viridiplantae; Streptophyta; Magnoliopsida; Brassicales; Caricaceae. The record is from RNAcentral.